Molecule: ribosomal RNA, 494 nt
Filed under: uncultured bacterium
Lineage: Bacteria
Description: partial 16S ribosomal RNA
Rfam family: Bacterial small subunit ribosomal RNA
Source: RNAcentral
ACGAACGCUGGCGGCGUGCCUAAUCCCUGCAAGUAGAACGCUGAAGGAGGAGCUUGCUUCUCUGGAUGAGUUGCGAACGGGUGAGUAACGCGUAGGUAACCUGCCUGGUAGCGGGGGAUAACUAUUGGAAACGAUAGCUAAUACCGCAUAAUAGUAGAUGUUGCAUGACAUUUGCUUAAAAGGUGCAAUUGCAUCACUACCAGAUGGACCUGCGUUGUAUUAGCUAGUUGGUGGGGUAACGGCUCACCAAGGCGACGAUACAUAGCCGACCUGAGAGGGUGAUCGGCCACACUGGGACUGAGACACGGCCCAGACUCCUACGGGAGGCAGCAGUAGGGAAUCUUCGGCAAUGGACGGAAGUCUGACCGAGCAACGCCGCGUGAGUGAAGAAGGUUGUCGGAUCGUAAAGCUCGGUUGUAAGAGAAGAACGAGUGUGAGAGUGGAAAGUUCACACUGUGACGGUAGCUUACCAGAAAGGGACGGCUAACUACGUG